AAAUGGGAGCAAGAUUAGCAAGUUGGCUACGGUCCAACCCAUAGAGGUGUAACUCCUCUCCCAUUUA
Molecule: transfer RNA, 67 nt
Filed under: Thelepus plagiostoma
Lineage: Eukaryota; Metazoa; Annelida; Polychaeta; Terebellida; Terebellidae
Description: tRNA-Arg
Source: RNAcentral